RNAcentral lists this ribosomal RNA (513 nucleotides) under uncultured bacterium. Its description in RNAcentral is "partial 16S ribosomal RNA". It matches the Rfam family "Bacterial small subunit ribosomal RNA", at positions 28 to 523 of the family's 1533-position model. The record is from RNAcentral.
GAUGAACGCUGGCGGCAUGCCUAAUACAUGCAAGUCGAGCGAACAGAUGCAGUGCUUGCACUUCUGACGUUAGCGGCGAACGGGUGAGUAACACGUAAGGAAUCUACCUAUAAGCGGGGGAUAACAUUCGGAAACGGGUGCUAAUACCGCAUAAUAUCUUCUUCCGCAUGGAAGAAGAUUGAAAGACGGCUCUGCUGUCACUUAUAGAUGACCUUGCGGUGCAUUAGUUAGUUGGUGGGGUAACGGCGUACCAAGACGAUGAUGAAUAGCCGUCCUGAGAGGGUGUACGGCCACAUUGGGACUGAGACACGGCCCAAACUUCGACGGGGAUCAGCAGUAGGGAAGCUUCCGCAGUGGGCGAAAGCCUGACGGAGCAAUGCCGCGUGAGUGAAGAAGGCCUUCGGGUCGUAAAACUCUGUUAUAAGAGAAUAACAAAUUGUAGAGUAACUGCUACAGUCUUGACGGUAUCUUAUCAUAAAGCCACGGCUAACUACGUGCCAGCCGCCGCCGUAA